UGGGGAAUAUUGGACAAUGGGCGAAAGCCUGAUCCAGCCAUGCCGCGUGUGUGAAGAAGGUCUUCGGAUUGUAAAGCACUUUAAGUUGGGAGGAAGGGCAUUAACCUAAUACGUUAGUGUUUUGACGUUACCGACAGAAUAAGCACCGACUAACUCUGUGCCAGCAGCCGCGGUAAUACAGAGGGUGCAAGCGUUAAUCGGAAUUACUGGGCGUAAAGCGCGCGUAGGUGGUUUGUUAAGUUGGAUGUGAAAUCCCCGGGCUCAACCUGGGAACUGCAUUCAAAACUGACUGACUAGAGUAUGGUAGAGGGUGGUGGAAUUUCCUGUGUAGCGGUGAAAUGCGUAGAUAUAGGAAGGAACACCAGUGGCGAAGGCGACCACCUGGACUAAUACUGACACUGAGGUGCGAAAGCGUGGGGAGCAAACA
This 427-nucleotide ribosomal RNA is filed under the name uncultured bacterium. Its description in RNAcentral is "partial 16S ribosomal RNA". It matches the Rfam family "Bacterial small subunit ribosomal RNA", at positions 355 to 774 of the family's 1533-position model. The record is from RNAcentral.